AGAGUUUGAUCCUGGCUCAGGACGAACGCUGGCGGCGUGCUUAACACAUGCAAGUGGAGCGACGAACCAGGCUUCGGCCUGGGGCAGAGCCGCGAACGGGUGAGUAACACGUGGGUAACCUGCCCCGAUGACCGGGACAACCCGAGGAAACUCGGGCUAAUACCGGAUGCGUACACCUCACAUCAGUGGAGUGUGCAAAGGUAGCUUCGGCCUCCGCAUCGGGAUGGGCCCGCGGCCCAUUAGCUUGUUGGUGAGGUAACGGCUCACCAAGGCGACGAUGGGUAGCUCGGUCUGAGAUGACGAUCGAACCACACUGGGACUCACGAAGGAGGGGAGUACAUAAGAAACACCCACGGGCCCCCCCAAGAACCUCCCUUACCCGGGAGGACAGCCAGCAGUGGGGNAAUAUNCCGCCACUCUCCAAAAAUUAUCUGCCACCCGCCCCGGCGGGAGUGAGGGNACGGACCGGUCCUGUGCUGAGGUUGCGGUGAUAAUGCCUUACCGUGGGUUUCAGGAAGUUAACGGGGGGCAACCGCCGAAAGGUGCCAGCCAAUCCGGUGACCCGGGGGUUAUCACGCAUGAGCUACGCUAGUGUAACUAGUAGCGCUCGNGCAGAUAAGUGGAUCGAGCGUGUACUCNUUCAAGAAAGGACGCCCUCCGGGUCCUAAACCUACCGUUUGGCCCAAGCCCAUGCCGCCGGCAGUGAUUUAAAUUUU
This 716-nucleotide ribosomal RNA is filed under the name uncultured bacterium. RNAcentral's name for it is "bacterial SSU rRNA". The stretch from base 2 to 472 matches the Rfam family "Bacterial small subunit ribosomal RNA", at positions 9 to 546 of the family's 1533-position model. The record is from RNAcentral.